Molecule: ribosomal RNA, 351 nt
Filed under: Triticum aestivum (bread wheat)
Lineage: Eukaryota; Viridiplantae; Streptophyta; Magnoliopsida; Poales; Poaceae
Description: partial small subunit ribosomal RNA
Source: RNAcentral
AUGCCCGCGCUCCGGGAGACGUACUGCAAGGGCGUCACCGUCAAGCCCCGCGAGAGGAAGCACAUGGCGAUCGUCGUCCUGCUGCUCCACAACUGCUUCGCGCAGUACGCGCUGUGCCGCCUCAACCUCGUGCUCACCAUGAGCCGGCGGCCUCCGGUGGCCGUCGCCCUCACCGCGUCGGUCGCCAUCUGCGUGCCGGCCGUCGCAAGCCUGUAUAAGAACCUCAGCACCCUCGGCAUAGACCACGAGGCCCAGGCCACGGCCGACGAGGAGUCUUCUGGUUCGCAGCAGCUCCAGCAGAAGACCGUCGAGAAGAGGUACUCCUCUCCUCCGCAGGGAGAAAGAGAAUGA